UGGAAGUGAGGCUGAGGGGCCAAAGCGUAUGCCAAUAUGCGUUUGCUUUGGCCCCUCGGCCUCACUUCCA
This 70-nucleotide microRNA precursor is filed under the name Paramuricea clavata. Lineage: Eukaryota; Metazoa; Cnidaria; Anthozoa; Malacalcyonacea; Plexauridae. The record is from RNAcentral.